GUUAACGUUCAUGUCACGUUGAAUACACCAGUUCUCGACCGACGACCGAUCACUAAGUUAAGUAACGUCGAGCAUGGAUAUUACUUGGAUGGGUGACCGCUUGGGAACACCAGGAAACGUUAGGU
Molecule: ribosomal RNA, 125 nt
Filed under: Diaphorina citri (Asian citrus psyllid)
Lineage: Eukaryota; Metazoa; Arthropoda; Insecta; Hemiptera; Psyllidae
Source: RNAcentral